GAUGAACGCUGGCGGCGUGCCUAAUACAUGCAAGUCGAGCGAACAGACGAGGAGCUUGUUCCUCUGUCGUUAGCGGCGGACGGGAGAGUAACACGUGGAUAACCUACCUAUAAGACUGGGAUGACUUCGGGAAACCGGAGCUAAUAGCGUAUAAUAUAUUGAACGGCAUGGUUUAAUAGUGAAAGACGGUUUUGGUGUCACUUAUGGAUGGAUCCGCGGCGCAUUAGGUAGUUGGUUAGGGAACGGCUUACCAAGGCAACGAUUGUGAGCCGACCUGAGAGGGUGAACAGCCACACUGGAGCUGAGACACGUUCCAGACUCCUACGGAAGGCAGCGGUAGGGAAGCGUCCGCAAUGGGCGAAAGCCUGCCGGAGCAACGCCGCGUGAGUGAUGAAGGUCUUCGGAUCGUAAAACUCUCUUAUUAGGGAAGAACAAGUGUGUAAGUAACUAUGCACGUCUUGACGGUACCUAAUCAGAAAGCCACGGCUAACUACGUG
This 497-nucleotide ribosomal RNA is filed under the name uncultured bacterium. Its description in RNAcentral is "partial 16S ribosomal RNA". It matches the Rfam family "Bacterial small subunit ribosomal RNA", at positions 28 to 507 of the family's 1533-position model. The record is from RNAcentral.